Hippocampus comes (tiger tail seahorse) is the source of this 314-nucleotide long non-coding RNA. RefSeq lists it as uncharacterized. The transcript is spliced from 3 exons. NCBI's taxonomy places the organism in Eukaryota, Metazoa, Chordata, Actinopteri, Syngnathiformes, Syngnathidae. The record is from RefSeq and is a predicted model, not a curated record.
GUCAUUAUUAAACGCCUGAAACGGAGUUUCAAGGGGCUCGGUUAUGAGGCUCACCUAAGUUCUCUUGCUCUAAAAGUGGGCCAAUCAGACCGUGGCACAUUGACCUGGUGUAACGGCUGCAGAAUGACAUCACAACACUCACCAGGCAUCUGGACGCCGGCUCGAAGAGGGCCAGCACCUGUAGACAGCAACUUCUGUAAAACCAUGCACUUCAUUGCACAGCGACCCGAAGAAGCAGAAGAUUGUGGGAGUUUUCCGACGCUGAGAUCUCACGUGAAGCAUCCGUGUCCACUUCCUCUGCAAUCUGUGAAAAG